AUGGCUGUCGUCAACUCGUGUCGUGAGAUGUUGGGUUAAGUCCCGCAACGAGCGCAACCCCUACUUUUAGUUGCCACCAUUUAGUUGAGCACUCUAAAAGAACUGCCAGUGAUAAGCUGGAGGAAGGCGGGGAUGACGUCAAGUCCUCAUGGCCCUUACGUGUUGGGCUACACACGUGCUACAAUGGCACUUACAAUGAGAUGCAAAGAGGCGACUCCUAGCAAAUCUCAAAAAGGUGCCUCAGUUCGGAUUGUACUCUGCAACUCGAGUACAUGAAGCUGGAAUUGCUAGUAAUCGCGGAUCAGCGCGCCGCGGUGAAUACGUUCCCGGGUCUUGUACACACCGCCCGUCACACCAUGGAAGUUGGUUACACCUGAAAGCAAAAUGUAAAAAUUUUGACUACGGUACGAUCAGCAACUGGGGUGAAGUCGUAACAAGGUAGCCGUAGGGGAACCUGCGGCUGGAUCACCUCCUUUCUAAGGAAAUCGAAAAAUAUGAAAACAAUUAUUUUCGAUUUAAAAAAAACCGGUAAUGUGACCGUCCUCAUUUCUCUUCUUUUAAUGUCUCUAAGUAAAUCAAGGGGCCGGUAGCUCAGAUGGUUAGAGCGCACCCCUGAUAAGGGUGAGGUCGGAAGUUCGAGUCUUCCUCGGCCCACCAUUAUUACGGGGGAUUAGCUCAGCUGGGAGAGCGCCUGAUUUGCAUUCAGGAGGCCAGCGGUUCGAUCCCGCUAUCCUCCACCAAAAUUUGAGACAUUUAGCUUUUUUAAAUUGUGAAUAUUAUUAUUAUCAAUAUCUAUAUCCGAUUGUUUUCAAUAUUUUUUUUGAAAACAAUCAAAACAAAAAUUUAAUUUAUUACAGAAAAGUUUUUUUCUGUGCAUAAAUCAAGCGUUUAAGGGCGAUUGGCGGAUGCCUUGGCACUGUAAGACGAUGAAGGACGUGGUAUACUGCGAUAAGUUUCGGGGAGCCGUAUGCAGGCUUUGAUCCGAAAAUUUCCGAAUGGGGAAACCCGG
This 1009-nucleotide small RNA is filed under the name uncultured bacterium. Its description in RNAcentral is "bacterial SSU rRNA". The stretch from base 1 to 476 matches the Rfam family "Bacterial small subunit ribosomal RNA", at positions 1045 to 1533 of the family's 1533-position model. The record is from RNAcentral.